This 640-nucleotide ribosomal RNA is filed under the name uncultured fungus. RNAcentral describes it as "eukaryotic LSU rRNA". The stretch from base 192 to 345 matches the Rfam family "5.8S ribosomal RNA". The record is from RNAcentral. Lineage: Eukaryota; Fungi.
AUUAACAAAUCUAUAAAGUGUGGCGGUCCUUGUGUCCGCUUGCACACAUUAGCCCUAUAGCGAUCGACCAGGUAUUACUUGGACUGAUUGCUAUGGUGUUGUGGUGGGGAUUGAAGUCGGAGACGACUUUGAUCUGUGCCAUAUAUUAACGCUUGAUUGUUUGACAGAUUUAUUGUGACAAUAAUAAUGACAACUUUUAACAAUGGAUCUCUUGGCUCUUGCAACGAUGAAGAACGCAGUGAAGUGCGAAAAGUAAUGCGAUUUGCAUGAAUCUGUGAGUCAUCAAGUCUUUGAACGCAUCUUGCACCAUAUGAGCAAUUGUAUGGUAUACCUGUUUGAGAAUCGUAAAGACCCACUUCCUCUCGGUUGAGAGGAGAAUUGUCGGUUGUCGGCAUAUAAUGUGUUGACUCUGAUUAAAAGCAGAAGGUCUGUGACCAAGCUAGUGGCUUGGGACAUUGUGUGCUAGAGACGCGGUUGAGUUCGCUCGACAUGCAAGUCUUCUCACAAUGCGUCCUAAGCCCUUUGAAAAGCUGGCUUGGUUACGGCCUACACAGUGCUAUUUCGAUAGUACAACUUUACCCUCUUUGAUCUCAAAUCAGGUAAGGCUACCCGCUGAACUUAAGCAUAUCAAUAAGCGGAG